CCUCCUUUAAAGAGACGGAAAGCUGGCGUGAAAGCGCCCGCACAAUCUGCCUAAUCGCCAUAAACAUAGACCGCGGGUCUGUAGCUCAGUUGGUUAGAGCGCACCCCUGAUAAGGGUGAGGCCGGAAGUUCAACUCUUCCCAGACCCACCAGGUUGCCUCCAAACCAGAGGCUUACCAAUCGGGGCCAUAGCUCAGCUGGGAGAGCACCUGCUUUGCAAGCAGGGGGUCGGCGGUUCGAUCCCGCCUGGCUCCACCAGGUGAUAAACGAUAGUGAUUUAGGCCACUAUCGUUUAUUUCUUGACGAAGUCGGGUCAGCGGACGCUCUUUAACAAUUUAGUAGUAGUGAUAUACGACGGUGAAGUCGAGCCUGUUUCAGGCGAGGCUUUACUGGGUAUACCAGCAUUUAUCAGGUAGAUGUAUUUCGAUAUUUCCCCAAAAAGGAAUCAGUCCUUUUUGGGGGUUAAUAUUGAAUCAAGCCGAUA
This 483-nucleotide transfer RNA is filed under the name uncultured Chromatiales bacterium. Its description in RNAcentral is "partial 16S-23S ribosomal RNA intergenic spacer". The stretch from base 75 to 148 matches the Rfam family "tRNA". The record is from RNAcentral. Lineage: Bacteria; Pseudomonadati; Pseudomonadota; Gammaproteobacteria; Chromatiales.